AGUGAACGCUGGCGGUAGGCCUAACACAUGCAAGUCGAACGGCAGCACAGUAAGAGCUUGCUCUUACGGGUGGCGAGUGGCGGACGGGUGAGGAAUACAUCGGAAUCUACUUUUUCGUGGGGGAUAACGUAGGGAAACUUACGCUAAUACCGCAUACGACCUACGGGUGAAAGCAGGGGAUCUUCGGACCUUGCGCGAUUGAAUGAGCCGAUGUCGGAUUAGCUAGUUGGCGGGGUAAAGGCCCACCAAGGCGACGAUCCGUAGCUGGUCUGAGAGGAUGAUCGGCCACACUGGAACUGAGACACGGUCCAGACUCCUACGGGAGGCAGCAGUGGGGAAUAUUGGACAAUGGGCGAAAGCCUGAUCCAGCAAUACCGCGUGGGUGAAGAAGGCCUUCGGGUUGUAAAGCCCUUUUGUUGGGAAAGAAAAGCAGCAGAUUAAUACCCCGCUGUUCUGACGGUACCCAAAGAAUAAGCACCGGCUAACUUCGUG
This 492-nucleotide ribosomal RNA is filed under the name uncultured bacterium. Its description in RNAcentral is "partial 16S ribosomal RNA". It matches the Rfam family "Bacterial small subunit ribosomal RNA", at positions 29 to 507 of the family's 1533-position model. The record is from RNAcentral.